AACGAACGCUGGCGGCAUGCCUAACACAUGCAAGUCGAACGAAGUCUUCGGACUUAGUGGCGCACGGGUGCGUAACGCGUGGGAAUCUGCCCUUGGGUGCGGAAUAACUUCUCGAAAGGGAUGCUAAUACCGCAUAAUGUCGUAAGACCAAAGAUUUAUCGGCAAAGGAUGAGCCCGCGUAGGAUUAGGUAGUUGGUGGGGUAAAGGCCUACCAAGCCGACGAUCCUUAGCUGGUCUGAGAGGAUGAUCAGCCACACUGGGACUGAGACACGGACCAGACUCCUACGGGAGGCAGCAGUGAGGAAUAUUGGACAAUGGGCGCAAGCCUGAUCCAGCCAUGCCGCGUGCAGGAAGACGGUCCUAUGGAUUGUAAACUGCUUUUAUACAGGAAGAAACACUACGGACGUGUCCGAACUUGACGGUACUGUAUGAAUAAGCAUCGGCUAACUCCGUGCCAGCAGCCGCGGUAAAGU
This 473-nucleotide ribosomal RNA is filed under the name uncultured bacterium. Its description in RNAcentral is "bacterial SSU rRNA". It matches the Rfam family "Bacterial small subunit ribosomal RNA", at positions 29 to 526 of the family's 1533-position model. The record is from RNAcentral.